Molecule: ribosomal RNA, 253 nt
Filed under: uncultured bacterium
Lineage: Bacteria
Description: partial 16S ribosomal RNA
Rfam family: Bacterial small subunit ribosomal RNA
Source: RNAcentral
UACGUAGGUGACCAGCGUUGUCCGGAUUUACUGGGCGUAAAGAGCGCGCAGGCGGUCGUUCACGUCGAGUGUGAAAGCCCCCGGCUCAACUGGGGAGGGUCACUCGAUACUGAUCGACUUGAAGGCAGGAGAGGGAAGCGGAAUUCCCGGUGUAGUGGUGAAAUGCGUAGAUAUCGGGAGGAACACCAGUGGCGAAGGCGGCUUCCUGGCCUGUUCUUGACGCUGAGGCGCGAAAGCUAGGGGAGCAAACGGG